Molecule: ribosomal RNA, 1132 nt
Filed under: Alternaria alternata
Lineage: Eukaryota; Fungi; Ascomycota; Dothideomycetes; Pleosporales; Pleosporaceae
Description: SSU rRNA
Rfam family: Eukaryotic small subunit ribosomal RNA
Source: RNAcentral
GUAGUCAUAUGCUUGUCUCAAAGAUUAAGCCAUGCAUGUCUAAGUAUAAGCAAUUAUACCGUGAAACUGCGAAUGGCUCAUUAAAUCAGUUAUCGUUUAUUUGAUAAUACCUUACUACUUGGAUAACCGUGGUAAUUCUAGAGCUAAUACAUGCUGAAAAUCCCGACUUCGGAAGGGAUGUGUUUAUUAGAUAAAAAACCAAUGCCCUUCGGGGCUUUUUGGUGAUUCAUGAUAACUUUACGGAUCGCAUAGCCUUGCGCUGGCGACGGUUCAUUCAAAUUUCUGCCCUAUCAACUUUCGAUGGUAAGGUAUUGGCUUACCAUGGUUUCAACGGGUAACGGGGAAUUAGGGUUCGAUUCCGGAGAGGGAGCCUGAGAAACGGCUACCACAUCCAAGGAAGGCAGCAGGCGCGCAAAUUACCCAAUCCCGACACGGGGAGGUAGUGACAAUAAAUACUGAUACAGGGCUCUUUUGGGUCUUGUAAUUGGAAUGAGUACAAUUUAAACCUCUUAACGAGGAACAAUUGGAGGGCAAGUCUGGUGCCAGCAGCCGCGGUAAUUCCAGCUCCAAUAGCGUAUAUUAAAGUUGUUGCAGUUAAAAAGCUCGUAGUUGAAACUUGGGCCUGGCUGGCGGGUCCGCCUCACCGCGUGCACUCGUCCGGCCGGGCCUUCCUUCUGAAGAACCUCAUGCCCUUCACUGGGCGUGCUGGGGAAUCAGGACUUUUACUUUGAAAAAAUUAGAGUGUUCAAAGCAGGCCUUUGCUCGAAUACGUUAGCAUGGAAUAAUAAAAUAGGGCGUGCGUUUCUAUUUUGUUGGUUUCUAGAGACGCCGCAAUGAUUAACAGGAACAGUCGGGGGCAUCAGUAUUCAGUUGUCAGAGGUGAAAUUCUUGGAUUUACUGAAGACUAACUACUGCGAAAGCAUUUGCCAAGGAUGUUUUCAUUAAUCAGUGAACGAAAGUUAGGGGAUCGAAGACGAUCAGAUACCGUCGUAGUCUUAACCGUAAACUAUGCCGACUAGGGAUCGGGCGAUGUUCUUUUUCUGACUCGCUCGGCACCUUACGAGAAAUCAAAGUUUUUGGGUUCUGGGGGGAUUAUGGUCGCAAGGCUGAAACUUAAAGGAAUUGACGGAAG